This 468-nucleotide ribosomal RNA is filed under the name uncultured bacterium. RNAcentral's name for it is "partial 16S ribosomal RNA". It matches the Rfam family "Bacterial small subunit ribosomal RNA", at positions 28 to 507 of the family's 1533-position model. The record is from RNAcentral.
GACGAACGCUGGCGGCGUGCUUAACACAUGCAAGUCGAACGGAAAGGCCCUGCUUGUGUGGGGUGCUCGAGUGGCGAACGGGGGAGUAACACGUGAGUAACCUGCCCUUGACUUUGGGAGAACUUCAGGAAACUGGGGCUAAUACCGGAUAGGAGCUCCUGCUGCAGGGUGGGGGUUGGAAAGUUUCGGCGGUGGGGGAUGGACUCGCGGCUUAUCAGCUUGUUGGUGGGGGAGUGGCUUACCAAGGCUUUGACGGGUAGCCGGCCUGAGAGGGUGACCGGCCACAUUGGGCCUGCGAUACGGCCCAGACUCCUACGGGAGGCAGCAGUGGGGAAUCUUGCACAAUGGGCCGAAGCCUGAUGCAGCAGCGCCGCGUGCGGGAUGACGGCCUUCGGGUUGUAAACCGCUUUCGCCUGUGACGCAGCGUGAGUGACGGUACUGGGUAAAGAAGCACCAGCUAACUACGUG